UACGGAGGGGGCUAGCGUUGUUCGGAAUUACUGGGCGUAAAGCGCACGUAGGCGGCUUUGUAAGUUAGAGGUGAAAGCCCAGGGCUUAACCCUGGAAUUGCCUUUAAGACUGCAUCGCUAGAAUCGUGGAGAGGUGAGUGGAAUUCCGAGUGUAGAGGUGAAAUUCGUAGAUAUUCGGAAGAACGCCAGUGGCGAAGGCGACUCACUGGACACGUAUUGACGCUGAGGUGCGAAAGCGUGGGGAGCAAACAGG
Molecule: ribosomal RNA, 253 nt
Filed under: uncultured bacterium
Lineage: Bacteria
Description: partial 16S ribosomal RNA
Rfam family: Bacterial small subunit ribosomal RNA
Source: RNAcentral